Podarcis lilfordi (Lilford's wall lizard) is the source of this 6388-nucleotide non-coding RNA. The record is from the annotation of a GenBank genome assembly. NCBI's taxonomy places the organism in Eukaryota, Metazoa, Chordata, Lepidosauria, Squamata, Lacertidae.
CCUGGUGUUUACUGAGGUGAUACACCAUGACUAUACCACUUCAGACUGCAGAUUCAGCUUCCAUAACUGAAUAAUAAUAAUAAUAAUUAACAACAACUAUAAUAAAUCAAAUUUGUAUACCGCCCUUCAUCCAUAGAUCUCAGGGCAUUUCACAGUGUAAAACCUGAAUAUUGCACCCACUUCUACAAAUAAAAUAUUAGACUAUCCCGAGGAUUUCAUACAGUAAAGCAUCCAAUUAUGCAAGUGGUACAGUUCAGAUACAAGUUUGUCACAAAAUGAGUACUAGAUCUUGGUGAACCAGCAGUAAGAUGCACAAACUACAAAUAUUUGGGCUGAAGGAGCUUCUCUUUUAAUGCAGGAGUUUUCCUAAAUACCUUAGGAGUUCCUGCCAGCAGUAGAGGCCCCUUCUGUCCCUCCCCUCACUUCUGAUUUUGGCAAACCAUAAACGAAACAUGUAAUUUUCAUCUUUCUUCCCUUAAUAGCAAAAUGCAAUGCCAUCAUUUUGUUGAAGGACUUGAUAGAAGGUGCUUUAGACCUCGGAUACAAGAAAAAUGUAAUUUAAGUUUAGUGUGUUUAAUGUCUGAAGUAUCUACAAGCGAUCUACAAGUAUCUACAAGUGAUUACCUAAGGACAGCAAGUGGACUAGGUUUCAGUGCUAAUCAAGACAGCAAAUACCCCAAACCAUGAACUCUUGAUGCUCAUAAAGCAGAGUAGCUAGCCUAUCUUUAAGGCUAUUCAACUAAGUUCAACUAAGCUUUACUCAGAGGAGACCCACUGCAAUUAAUGGACCUAACUUGAUUCAUUUUAAUCCAUCUACUUCAAGUAAGUUGAAUACCACCCAUUGUUAGCUCAUCAGGCUCAGGCCCUCCGUGAACACUGGAACACAUAGAACACAUAGAAAAAGGUGGUCUGGGAUAAGUGUGCCCACAUUUUUAAUGUUCUCCCACUGAAACUACAUCUUUGUUGACCCCUCUGCAUAAGUCAUCUUUUCUAACACACUCAAGUUAUCCAAACAAAAAUUAAUUAACUGCUUAGAAGCCAUUCAGUAAUUAAUUGAUUAAAAUAAUUAUAAUAUACUCCAGGGCAAAGAAUAUAAGUUCCAUGCAGCCAUAUGAAUGCACACUCACUUCUAAAUUCCCGUUUUGAUAUUCACAGGUAUACAGACAGACAAACAGAAACUUCUCCAAGACACUACAGGGAACUUUAGAAGAUAAGUUCUCAGAAGGCCCACAUCUCAUCUGUAAAAAUCUCAUUUCUUCCUGCCUGCUUGCUACACGUUAGACUCAUGCUACAGAUUAUACAGGGGGAAAGAAGACAUAUCUGUGCCAGUUGGUGGUAACUAUGCCAUUAUAUUUUAAUUAACUGAUUAAGUCAGGCAUAGGUAAACUCCAGCCCUCCAGAUGUUUGGGACUACAAUUCCCAUCAUCCCUGGCUAACAGGACCAGUGGUCAGGGAUGAUGGGAAUUGUAGUCUCAAACAUCUGGAGGGCCAGAGUUUGCCUAUGCCUGGAUUAAGGAGUUCUAGCUUAAGGUCAUAUAUAUCAUUUUUAUACAAUACCAUCUAUGUACAUUAUAUGUACAUAGGAAGUAAGAAGAUGCCCCCCAAAAGUCACCUACAAUUACAAUGAUGCAAUUUCAAGAAUAAAGUUUGAAUUAUAAAAUAGUCUAAUUGCUACAUUUAAAUUUAUUUUCUAAGACAAGUCACACAAGCUAUAUGUUCACCCUGUACUGUUAGUGAAGCAUUCUAUAAAAAUGCACAAAAAAUAGCAAACCUCUUACAGUGGUACCUCCGGUUACGAACUUAAUUCGUUCCGGAGGUCCGUUCUUAAGCUGAAACCGUUCAUAACCCGAGGAGCGCUUUCACUAAUGGUGCCUCAUACUGCUGCUGUGCAUGACUUCCGCUCGCAUCCUGGGGGAAAGUUUGCAACCAGGAGCAUCUACUUCCAGGUUAGCAGAGCUCGUAACCUGAAGUGUUCGCAAGGAGGACGGUACGUAACACGAGGUUCCACUGUACUGUUUAAAUAUGCAUUCCUUGCACUCUACAUUCUUUCACACAUGAGAAUUAGGGUAAAUUCACACAUUGCAAAGCAAAAAAUCCAUGUCUGCCAUCGCAAAUCCUAGCAAAACAUAUAUUGUCUUAUACACCAGUAGAACCUUGGUGGUUCUAGGAAGCCUUAGUAGCUUCUUCAAUAAGGAAAGCAGAAAUAGGGACUAAGGCAGACAUAGGCAAACUCGGCCCUCCAGAUGUUUUGGGACUACAUCAUCCCUAGCUAACAGGACCAUUGGUCAGGGGUAUUGGGAGUUGUAGUCCCAAAACAUCUGGAGGGCCGAGUUUGUCUAUGCCUGGGCUGAGGUUUCUUGCACAGUAUCUCGCUCACACAAAUGGUCUCCUCCUACAGAGAACAGCCAAAGAGCUACAAGGUACCUCUAAAAGUCAUGUGAGGCCACAGUGAAGGCUGGCAGGUCUGACUAGAGCUCCACACAACAUUAAUGACUAUAUUAAGAUAAUAGUAAACCAUGGUUUAUCAUUAUAUGAGUAAGAGGGUCAGGGUCAUGCACUGCCCCCUUCUCUUUUCUGCAGUCACAAGAUCGGAAGUUUUCACUUCUGUUUUUAAACUAACUGUGGUUUAUCAUUAUGCCCAAACCCGGACAAAGUGAUUUUUAACCAUAGUUUUUUGUUUGUUUCAAUAACCCAGAUUUAAACACAAUUCAGGGUGCAAGUACAACACUAGACUGCUAUUAAUUGACACUUUUAAUCUCAUUGUGGCCCUACCAGACAGGGAGGGAGAUGGGUAUCGGACAAGAUUCAAACACAUACUGAUAAACCAUAGUUUAAUGUUACAUCUUAACCAGGCCAAUAUGUGCCAACAAAUAUUUCCCGAAUUCCGCAAAACACACUGGGGUUCCUUCACAAACAAGACGAUGAUGUUUUAAACAUUUGUUAUAAGCAAUUGCCCUUAUUAAUGAAGCCUUUGCAAUAUGCUCACAAAACAUUUCCACCAUCAAAGCCUUUCCUACUGGGUUAAACUGAAGGACAGGCCCAGUGCAUAAAUUGUGGUACCAUUAUGAACAUGUUGCAGCACACACAGGACUAUGCACUGAGAUAAGCAAUUUCUGGCAUACAUAGAAAAGCAUUUCCAUGAUGAAAGGUGCCCAAAUGCAGGUGAUAGCAGAGAAAUAAACACUAUAUUACACCACCAUAUAUGGGUAAUAGUUCUGUGAUAUAGGACCUACAAAUUUAAGAAACUCUGUUUGCCUCCCAGAGUAUGCAAUUUUAUUCUGAGAAAAGAUAGCUUUGUAUGUUUCAUCAUCUCUGGUGUGAACUCCUAGAAAGAAGAAAGUGCCUACCCAAAGGUAAAGGUAAAGGGCCCCUGGACGGUUAAGUCCAGUCAAAGGCAACUAUGGGGUUGCAGCACUCAUCUCCAUUCAGGCUGAGGGAGCCGGCGUUUGUCCACAGACAGCUUUCCGGGUCAUGUGGCCAGCAUGACUAAACCACUUCUGGUGCAACGGGACACCAUGACAGAAGCCAGAGCGCACAGAAACGCUGUUUACCUUCCUGCUGCAGUGGUACCUAUUUAUCUAAUUGCACUGGUGUGCUUUUGAACUGCUAGGUUGGCAGAAGCUGGGACAGAGCAACAGGAGCUCACACCAUCAUGCAGAUUCAAACUGCGAACCUUGCAAUCAGCAAGCCCAAGAGGCUCAGUGGGUUAGACCACAGUGCACCCGUGUCUCUUUUUGUCAUGCUAAUAACCCUUGCUGUUUAAUGUACUGCUCUGAACCUUUAGAAAUUUCCACAUACCAUCCAUACAUUUAUGGUGAAUGCCCUUUCCUGCUCAUCCAGACACAUGCUGUAGGGCACUAUUGCCUACACUUAUCUCUAUUAUUACGUUUACUUCAACAACAGAUAACACUCCUGAUACGCCUCAAUAUACUUGCGGAACACUGCCAAACCAUGACACAACCACUGAUCACAAAAAAAUCACCUGUGUAACAGAAACCACAGUGUGCCACCAGAAGAGCAAGAUUGAGGCAGUUUUGUAUAAUUCCCUCUCCAGGCCCAGCAGGAGGAGAGUACUGCUAAACUGGGCCCAAAGCCAGCAGAGUUUGGACUCUGAACUUUCAUUUUAAAAUAAAAUAAAAAAACAAGUCUUUAGCCUUUACGAACCAAGAGUUAUGAAGCAAGACAUGCAGACACCCCUCUUAACAACUGCUUUGUGAGCCAUCAGCCUAUUCCUGCUUUUCAGUGCUUCUAGCCAAUUUUUGAAACAACAGAUGUGACAGACAAGUGCUAGAGAAAAAUAUUAAGAGUCACACAUCCACCAGGGAAGACCCUCAAAACCAGGAAGACCCUGGUUCAUUUUGAAGCUGACUUUGGGUCUUCCUUCAGAUGUGUGUGAUUUUUUUUUUCUGGAUUCAGAUAACAGAAGAGAAUGCAUGGUUCAUUCUUCUUUUCUUGUAGAGUUGUGAUUGCUGCCCAGUGAAAACAACUGCUACUGCAAGGCAGAAGGUAGAAACAAGGACUUUAUACUCUUGCAUUCAGGUUUAAAUAUUUGCAAAACAAUCAUUGAGUGUACAAACAUUUUAAUUCCCUGCAAUGAAAAUAAUAUCGUUAUUAGUAUAUCCAUUUGGGGGGCAGAGGGAAUAGAGUAACAGCUCUGAAGUGUAGCCCAACCCUGGCAUGUUGGGGGGGGGUGUUUAUUGGUUAUACAGUGGUACCUCGGUUUAAAAACAGCCCUGUUUAUGAACUAUUCAGUUUACGAACUCCGCAAAAGUAGUGUCCUGAUUUGCAAACUUUACUUCGGUCUAAGAACGGAAGCCGAAUGGUGGAAGGGCACCGGCAAUGGGAGGCCUCAUUAGGGAAAGCAUUCCUCGGUUUAAGAACGGUUUUGGUUUAAGAAAGGGCUUCCGGAAUGGAUUAAGUUUGUAAACUGAGAUACAACUGUAGUAGCAACAUGGAGACUGUUCCCACACUUAUGAGGGGAUAAAGAAAUUCUCCAGGGGGAAUGUUGCUGCUGAUAUAAAUGCUAAAAUGGGUAUAGCUAUGUAAAAGGUUCAUGUCUUUCUUCAUAACUCUUGGUGAGGGACAAAGUACAAGCUACAUACAGUGCACUAGGCCAAGAAAAUCCUGUUGACAUUCCUGGUUCUGGCAAUCCAGAAAAAGAGAAAGUAAUAGCGUUACCACUGAACUAUGCUACAUGGUCUGUCUGUUUAUUUUUCUUUACACAAAUGUUUUAUUUUAAUAUACAUAUGUCUGAACUCCCGUAUUAUGGAGAGGUAGCUUGACAAUGAAUAGUCAGCUAUAGUGUAUCAAAGAAACAACCUAAACAAAGCCUAUCAGUUAUGUCAUGAAAUCUCAUGAUUUUAAGAGCCCUACUUUUGCCCAUUUGAAAUUAGUAACUGCAAUUACCUAUCUACAAGAUCCAGUGAGUACACAAAAGGCUUGAAUUAUUCAAAAUGCCAUAAUUAUGUCCUGAAAUGAAAAUGAGGGGGGAAAACUACCCAGAAAUAUGGCUUACAUGGAAAAAUUGCAGGAAUUUUUUGAAGGCACAUCCUGUACUUAUGUUUUACCAAUACAGUAGACCCUCAACUUGUGUGAGAGCUACGUUCCGGGGAUUGUGCCUAAAGCCAAAAUCACGCAUAGUCAAAAUCCAUUGUGUUCAAUGGUAGGUGGAAUUACCAAAGUCAUUUUCCCUGCCCCUUUUUAAUUUUAUUUUUUAAUGUUUUGCCGCAUGCAUAAAGCUGAAUAUGCACAAAUUAAAUGCGUGCAAGUUGCAGGCUUACCGUAACAGUUGAUAUUUAAUUAACCCUAGUAAGAUUUCAAUGUAGCUUAAUGAUUAAUCAUGUAUCAGUGUAGUUCAAUCAAUUAGCAUCAAAACAAAGAACUACCUCUCCAACUCUGAUGAAAGAAUCUAGUAUCAUGUCAGAAGUGCAACAUUACAGGUUGGUCUCUACUCUACACUGUUGAUACAAACUCAAUGCAUACCUCAUCAGCCAGUAUGAAUACAAUCAUGUUAGCUGUGAUCCUCUAGCUGCAAUGCUCAUUUCAAUUUCUCAUUAUCAACUUUUCAGAAUCAGUUUAUAAACAGUGUUUUAAACUGCAGCCAACUAUGUCUGACUGGGAGGCUACAUUUUUCAUCCUCCACACUAACACUAUUGUAUAUCUUUCCCUGUUCUUUAGAAUCAGAAAGGGAAACAAAAACCAGGAGAUGUCUCCAUGAGAGGUUGCUGCAACCCAACAGAGAGGACAGAUCUGUGAGAAAUCAAAAUCUUGUAGUAACACUAGCCAGUCCCUACCAACUUCACUGUUAACAAGCCGAACCAAUCCAUAACAGCUUGAGUCUUCAGCUUCCCUAAACACCCGGAACAUACUUAAUAUGAAUGGAUGCCAG